UCAUCAUAAUAAUUGGUGAUAAUAUUUUUUAUCAUAAUCUCUCGUCCAAGUUUUGUUAGCAGCCAGAUCGACUUUAGCUCUUUCAACAUAUGUUUUUGUUUAAUGAACACAAUUUGACCAAAUUAAACUUGUCUGCCAUUGCACUCACAAUCACUGUAACACAGUUUUCUAAACAGGCGUAUGUUGUUGGCAUUCUCGUUGUUCAUUUAUUUGGAUUAUGAACUGAGUGAAAAAAUGAGCCCUGUCUAAGCAUAAAUACCAUAAUAAUUUAUGCACUUGGCGUAAUUUUCUUGACAAUUUACAUAUCUUUCGGUGUACUGCUCACAUUGCAAAACUUUGCAAUGCUUUGUAGAGUUUAUGCCCUGUGUCUAACUUCAUGUCAAAUGGUGACUUGCCUACUUAAAAUGACCUUGUUGAGAUGAAUAGGAUAAUCUCGUGCUGAUGCAACUGUUUCACGUUGUUUCUAUUUUAUUUUACAGGAAAAACUGUCAAUUUACAAAGCACCCUUCCCUGAAAAUCUGGCCAAGCUAAUACACAAUGUGAAUGCAUCAACGUGACCCUUCAGAGAAACAGGAUUCCAGGCCGAAUGUCAAACCGUCUGGGCUCCAGCAGCAGCCUCAGCCGUGGGGGUCAGGUUCAUGAUGCACCUAUGCUCUCAAUGCUCUAUGAGCAUCUUAAUCUCACAGCAACAGUGGAUAACAUGACCUUCAAGUUGGGGAUGAAUAUAUUUGUCUUUUGACGGAUCUUGGUCAGUGUCUAGCAGUAUCCUAUCAACUAAGCCACGUCCGCAAAGCAGCGAUUUGUCUUCCACGUUUGAGCUACCUUUUUGCCACGGUUGAGGGUCUCCCAAAACCACCCAGUGCCUUGCGAUGAAAACCUCCAACGG
Molecule: long non-coding RNA, 886 nt
Organism: Dreissena polymorpha
Lineage: Eukaryota; Metazoa; Mollusca; Bivalvia; Myida; Dreissenidae
Exons: 3
Source: RefSeq, a predicted model, not a curated record